Zingiber officinale is the source of this 1261-nucleotide RNA transcript. RefSeq lists it as uncharacterized. The transcript has 4 exons. NCBI's taxonomy places the organism in Eukaryota, Viridiplantae, Streptophyta, Magnoliopsida, Zingiberales, Zingiberaceae. The record is from RefSeq and is a predicted model, not a curated record.
UAUAAAUUUACGGAUCAUCUCCCGUGCGCCUUUUCGUUUUAUUUAGUCGUCUCUCUCUCUCUUCUGUUUGCGUGCUCCGACGAAAGUGAUCGAGAUUUGCGCGAAGGUGAGGAGGUCGAUAGGGUUUCGCCUUCCCGUACGAUCUCCCUUUCUCUUCACUGUUCUGGGUAGAAUCCAUGUCGAGGAAGCGGAAAUCGGACGCCUCGGGCCUCGACGAGGCGGAUCGCACGUUGUACUCCACUUUCUGCGGUGCCGCCAAUUCGCUGUCGCAGCUCUACACGCAGGCCAUGAACCAGCAGAAGGUCUCCUUCCAGGCCGGAGAGCGCCAUGCCCUGGACAAGCUUUAUCAAUGGGUCAUGAGAAAGCAUGAAGAAGGGUCAAGGAUUACAGUAGCUGAUAUAGUUUGCCAUAUUCAGACUGAGAUGGACCAUGUUGCAGAAGAUGGAUUAACAGCAGCCCCAAGAGCACCAUUCCAAAAUCAACAACCGCCGCCGUCAACACAUCCAAUAAACUCAACCUUCCAAGCUCCAUCUGGUUUGUUUGGCCAGCCAAUCCCUCGAAGUGGCCACACUGAUCAAGCAAAAAACUCCGUCUUCUCAAAUGCUCUUUCUAGCCCUGUGCGCAGGAGCCUUCAGCCGUAUCACCUUGCUAAUGAUGGGAGUGGAUUUUACACAAAUGAUGCCCCACCUACUGGAAACGCAGCAAGCAGGAACCAUGAUUCAGAUCAAAACCGGGACACCAGUUCUCUCAGUUGCAACGACACAUCCAUGGAUAUUCAUACAGAUAGCCCGCCACAUCAAUCCUAUUCUUAGUUCUGCAAACCAUCACAGAAUCAUGCAAGAGUGAAGAUGAUGAAUACUGCAAGCCAUAUUUUGGAUGUGCCUGUUCCCUUUGCAAGGUGUCAUAGGUCUGCUCCUGGUGCAAGCUGGCACGGUGCGCAUCGAGCUGGAGAACCCUCAGCAUCAUGUUUCUUUUAACUAGCAGAAGAGAGAGAGAGAUGAGGAGGAUUGGGUUUGAGUUUUUUACUUCUUCAAUGUCGAGUUGCCUGAUCCGAUGGAGGGAGCCAAAAGCAUAGGGUCGGUGGCGGAGGCAGCAACGACAGAAAAGAUCGAGGUUUCCCAGGAUGUGUGUUCUGGUAAAUAUAUACUUCUCAAUUACUUUCGUGGAUUUUUUUUUUUGUUAUCUUCAUCAUAGGCCUAACUUACACACCUGCAUAAAUUUACGGUUUAUCAUAUAUUUAAGCCAAACCCUGAUUGUGUUG